CAACCUGCCCGCCACUUGGGGAUAACCUUGCGAAAGUAAGACUAAUACCCAAUGAUAUCUCUAGAAGACAUCUGAAAGAGAUUAAAGAUUUAUCGGUGAUGGAUGGGGAUGCGUCUGAUUAGCUUGUUGGCGGGGUAACGGCUCACCAAGGCAACGAUCAGUAGGGGUUCUGGGAGGAAGGUCCCCCACAUCGGAACUGAGACACGGUCCAAACUCCUACGGGAGGCAGCAGUGAGGAAUAUUGGUCAAUGGACGAGAGUCUGAACCAGCCAAGUAGCGUGCAGGAAGACGGCCCUAUGGGUUGUAAACUGCUUUUAUAAGGGAAUAAAGUGAGUCUCGUGAGACUUUUUGCAUGUACCUUAUGAAUAAGGACCGGCUAAUUCCGUGCCAGCAGCCGCGGUAAUACGGAAGGUCCGGGCGUUAUCCGGAUUUAUUGGGUUUAAAGGGAGCGUAGGCCGGAGAUUAAGCGUGUUGUGAAAUGUAGACGCUCAACGUCUGCACUGCAGCGCGAACUGGUUUCCUUGAGUACGCACAAAGUGGGCGGAAUUCGUGGUGUAGCGGUGAAAUGCUUAGAUAUCACGAAGAACUCCGAUUG
This 595-nucleotide ribosomal RNA is filed under the name uncultured Bacteroidota bacterium. Its description in RNAcentral is "bacterial SSU rRNA". It matches the Rfam family "Bacterial small subunit ribosomal RNA", at positions 122 to 715 of the family's 1533-position model. Lineage: Bacteria; Pseudomonadati; Bacteroidota. The record is from RNAcentral.